CUCCCACUGCAUUUUUGCAAACAAGCUAAAGAAGUAUGGGUUGGAUGAAUGGGCUAUAAGCUGGAUAGAAAUGUGGCUGGAUUGUUGGGCUCAACAGGUAGUAAUCAAUGGCUCAAUGUCUAAUUGGCAGCCAGUAUCAAGUGGAGUG
Gavialis gangeticus (Gharial) is the source of this 148-nucleotide long non-coding RNA. RefSeq lists it as uncharacterized. The record is from RefSeq and is a predicted model, not a curated record. The transcript has 3 exons. NCBI's taxonomy places the organism in Eukaryota, Metazoa, Chordata, Crocodylia, Gavialidae.